This 21-nucleotide non-coding RNA is filed under the name Caenorhabditis elegans. Lineage: Eukaryota; Metazoa; Nematoda; Chromadorea; Rhabditida; Rhabditidae. The record is from RNAcentral.
UGGAUUCUUUAUACCAGACUG